Herpailurus yagouaroundi (jaguarundi) is the source of this 1760-nucleotide long non-coding RNA. RefSeq lists it as uncharacterized. NCBI's taxonomy places the organism in Eukaryota, Metazoa, Chordata, Mammalia, Carnivora, Felidae. The transcript has 3 exons. The record is from RefSeq and is a predicted model, not a curated record.
ACAUCCUGUCGGAGAUGCACAUAGGUGAAAAAUCCGUUUCUAUGUUUCGGAGCCCAGAAGCUGCUUUGCAUAUCUUACGAGCCUCCUCUUUGCUUGUUCCUUUUCUUCCAGUGUUGGGGGAGCCGGGUCAUAUGUCCUGUGGACCGUCCCACGUUCUGGACUUGGCCCAAUGCACCCUCGCGGUGUCCAUUCACUGGCGACUUUAUCCUCCUGUUUUUCUGAAAACCGGCGAUCACACCGAGAGGCUUGAUCCGAUUCAGAUUUUUUUAAAGCUGUGUGACCUUGAGCGAGUUACUUCACGUCUCGGGGCCUUGGAAUCUCCGCCUGCACCACAGGGCCGCUGAGCGCACCGACCUCACCCGGUGGCGAAGAUAGAAGGAGGUUAGCAGACCACGUAAAUGCUGCGGUUGGGGCCCAAAUAAAGAAACCCAGGAGGACCCUGGCAGGGCUGAGUCCGGACGAGCCAGGCCGGGCUGGACUCAGCCGGCCUCCUCCCGAGGGGCCUCCCGGGCCAGCGUCCCAGCAGUCACGUGGGGUGGGAGGUGGGGCGCCGGGCACACCUGGCUCCCUAAACCCCGCCACCCCCCCCCCUACGGCUCGGGGAGGCCAGGUAGAGCCUGGGCGGGGUUUUCCGGACCCGGGUGCUGGAAGGUUCAGACUUCUGAGUGAAGGGUCGAUCUCCGACGAGGGAGCACCCGAUCUGCUCGCGGAGCAGCCCCGUCGUCGGCCCCCGGAUUCCUGCGGCGGAACCAGCCCCAGGCCACCAGCUCCCUCCCUCCCGUCACCAGUUUCCUGGAGCUUACCUAAGAAUCACCGUGCGGGGCAGGGCCUGCUGUGCGAGAGUUUCCUGUUCGCCUCUCCCCGCCACCCCCCACCUCCACCUCCUGCGACCUCGGGGUCGCAGGACCCACCCACAGGACCCAGGGGUCCUCAGGGUCCCCGAGGCUGCUGCCACCCGCACCUCCAGGCCCACCGUGGCCCCAGGGAUCCCUGGCCCCCGAGCCACUCCCCCCCCCUCCAUUCCAGUCCUGGGAAUCAAGUCGAGGACUUCCAGGUGGUGGCCUCACAUUUGUGCCCCAAGCUCUUCCCCAAAGGCGUGCUUACAGUGCGAAUUUCGGGGGUGGGGUGGGGGUGGGGGGAGACGGGGUUAUUUCUUGGUGGCGAAGCCUGGCUGGGUGGAGGUGGAAAGCCCUGGGAGGGCGGUGAGCUGGGGAGGUGCAAGGCCAGCUCUGGGUGUGGGGACAGAUGGGGGGAGGCUUGGCACCAGGGGCCAGGCUCCAGAGGGGAGAGGACGCAGUGGGCCAGGCUUAGUCUGGGGUGAGAGAGCCAGAGAGAGCGCUUAAAAGGCCUUCUGGACAGAUAGCAGUGGCCCCAUUUUCCCGAGGGACCCGCAGGCUGGGCUCCUCCUUCGAAGUUGGGGCUCCUUCUGUUCUCCAAUCCUCCUGCCGCCAAACGGACGCAGGAAGGACUCUUGACCUUUCCUCUUGCCCCUCCCUCCUUGGAUGAUGGCCUGAAGGGCCUGAUGCCGGUACAGGGACUGAGGACAGACACAGGGACUGAGGACAGACCCAGAGAUGGACUUUCCGAUCCCCCUGGGAUCCCACUUUCCAGAAGCUGGCUGCUGGCAUUCCCCAAACUCUCCCCACAGAUGUCAGAGGGGCCAGCUGCUCUCCCUGUCUCCCUGUGCCCAGCUCCCCGUCCCAGCCCUGGCCCUGGCUUGUCCCCCAGGCCCUUCUCUGGCUAGUUUCUUUCUGAGCCUC